This 685-nucleotide ribosomal RNA is filed under the name uncultured bacterium. RNAcentral describes it as "bacterial SSU rRNA". It matches the Rfam family "Bacterial small subunit ribosomal RNA", at positions 73 to 774 of the family's 1533-position model. The record is from RNAcentral.
GUUACCUUCGGGUAAUGAGGAUGGCGGACGGGUGAGUAACGCGUAAGGAACUUGCCUCUUGGACUGGGACAACUGUUGGAAACGACAGCUAAUACCAGAUAUUAUGAGAUUCUCGCAUGAGAAAUUUAUGAAAGCUAUAUGCGCCAAGAGAGAGCCUUGCGUUCCAUUAGCUAGUUGGUGGGGUAACGGCCCACCAAGGCGACGAUGGAUAGCCGGCCUGAGAGGGUGAACGGCCACAAGGGGACUGAGACACGGCCCUUACUCCUACGGGAGGCAGCAGUGGGGAAUAUUGGACAAUGGGCCACAAGCCUGAUCCAGCAAUUCUGUGUGCACGAUGAAGGUCUUCGGAUUGUAAAGUGCUUUCAGUUGGGAAGAAGAAAGUGACGGUACCAACAGAAGAAGCGACGGCUAAAUACGUGCCAGCAGCCGCGGUAAUACGUAUGUCGCAAGCGUUAUCCGGAUUUAUUGGGCGUAAAGCGCGUCUAGGCGGAAAAAUAAGUCUGAUGUUAAAAUGCGGGGCUCAACUCCGUAUUGCGUUGGAAACUGUUUUUCUAGAGUACUGGAGAGGUGGGCGGAACUACAAGUGUAGAGGUGAAAUUCGUAGAUAUUUGUAGGAAUGCCGAUGGAGAAGUCAGCUCACUGGACAGAUACUGACGCUGAAGCGCGAAAGCGUGGGGAGCAAACA